AGGGCACCACCAGGAGUGGAGCCUGCGGCUUAAUUUGACUCAACACGGGGAAACUUACCCGGCCUGGACACUGGAAGGAUUGACAGAUUGAGAGCUCUUGCUUGAUUCAGUGGGUGGUGGUGCAUGGCCGUUCUUAGUUGGUGGAGCGAUUUGUCUGGUUAAUUCCGAUAACGAACGAGACUCUAGCCUAUUAAAUAGGCUCUCGGCUUUUAAACGCCGGGAGGACUUCUUAGAGGGACAGGUGGCGGUUCAGCCGCACGAAAGAGAGCAAUAACAGGUCUGUGAUGUCCUUUGUUGUCCGGGGCCGCACGCGCGCUACACUGAAGAGAUCAGCGUGCUUUACGUUCCUGCUCCGACCGGAGUGGGGAACCCAGUGAACCUUCUUCGUGAUUGGGAUAGAAGAUUGUAAUUAUUCUUCUUGAACGAGGAAUUCCCAGUAAAUGCGAGUCAUAAGCUCGCGUUGAUUACGUCCCUGCCCUUUGUACACACCGCCCGUCGCUACUACCGAUUGAACGAUUU
Molecule: ribosomal RNA, 519 nt
Filed under: uncultured eukaryote
Lineage: Eukaryota
Description: SSU rRNA
Rfam family: Eukaryotic small subunit ribosomal RNA
Source: RNAcentral